GCCAUAAGAAUAAUUUAUGGUGUAACCUGCCCAGUGAUCUUUCAACGGCCGCGGUACCCUGACUGUGAUAAUGUAGCAUAAUAAUUUGUUACUUAAUUAGUAAAUAGUAUGAAUGGUUGAACGAAUUUUCCAUUGUCUUUAAUUAAGGAUUAUAAAAUUAAAAUAAUAGUAAAGAUGCUAUUUUAAACUGAAAGACGAAAAGACCCUAUAGAGCUUAACUAUAAUUAGGAAUAAACUUAAGAUUGGUAGUUUAGUUGGGGCGACUGCCUUUUACUUUUAACAAAGGCAAAUUCUUAUAAUUAAAUUGAGUUUCUGUAUAAUAUAAAUAUUUAACAGUUAUAAUAAUAGAUAUAAUGACCGGUUGAAAAACAAUAAAUUAAUAAAAGCUACCUUAGGGAUAACAGAAUAAUUAUUAUUAAGAGAUCUUAUCAAAGUAAUAGUUUGUCACCUCUAUGUUGAAUUAAGAUGUCCUAUGAGAGCAGUAACUCAUAAAGGUAGGUCUGUUCGACCUUUAAAAUCUU
This 521-nucleotide ribosomal RNA is filed under the name Forskalia formosa. RNAcentral describes it as "partial 16S ribosomal RNA". It matches the Rfam family "Bacterial large subunit ribosomal RNA", at positions 1833 to 2597 of the family's 2925-position model. Lineage: Eukaryota; Metazoa; Cnidaria; Hydrozoa; Siphonophorae; Forskaliidae. The record is from RNAcentral.